RNAcentral lists this long non-coding RNA (500 nucleotides) under Marmota monax (woodchuck). The record is from RNAcentral. Lineage: Eukaryota; Metazoa; Chordata; Mammalia; Rodentia; Sciuridae.
GCCGUACGGCGGCGCCCCCGGCGUAGGGCCUGCGGGUCCCAGUGUCUCCCACUUUGUGACUUUGCUGGCCUCGGCCCUGCGCCCUCGCCACGCUGUUGCUCAGUGUUUCCUCAGGAAAUGUUUGGAGGCACGGCAAGACUAAUAAGAGCGUUGUGCGGUGCUUUCCACAUCUUAUCUCUUUCUUAUAUCACUUACAGCCUUUAUCUCCAGUGCACAGGGGAGGAAGCCGAGGGACAGAAAAGGGAAUUAUCUUUCCCAAGCUCAGCAGUUGAGACCAGAGCAGACGCCGCCGGAGCCUUGGCUUUUAAGUCGUCGCUGUUUUACGGGCCUGGUAAAAUGAGACUCCUAGCCACGACCGGCGUUCUUGGAGGUUACUGCAACCCAGACACCACCGCCUAGGAGCUCAUCAUCUAAGAAGGGAACCAAGAGAGGCCUAAAGGAUAACCAGCAAUACAGCAAUCCCGGAGCAAGUCUAAGAAGGGUGUUGGCAGUAUUUUUCU